Molecule: ribosomal RNA, 1532 nt
Filed under: uncultured prokaryote
Description: partial 16S ribosomal RNA
Rfam family: Bacterial small subunit ribosomal RNA
Source: RNAcentral
UUGAACGCUGGCGGCAGGCCUAACACAUGCAAGUCGAGCGGUAACAGGAAUUAGCUUGCUAAUUUGCUGACGAGCGGCGGACGGGUGAGUAAUGCUUGGGAAUAUGCCUUUUGGUGGGGGACAACAGUUGGAAACGACUGCUAAUACCGCAUAAUAUCUACGGAUCAAAGUAGGGGACCUUCGGGCCUUACGCCAAAAGAUUAGCCCAAGUGGGAUUAGCUAGUUGGUGAGGUAAUGGCUCACCAAGGCGACGAUCCCUAGCUGGUUUGAGAGGAUGAUCAGCCACACUGGAACUGAGACACGGUCCAGACUCUUCCGGGAGGCAGCAGUGGGGAAUAUUGCACAAUGGGCGCAAGCCUGAUGCAGCCAUGCCGGGUGUGUGAAGAAGGCCCUAGGGUUGUAAAGCACUUUCAGCGAGGAGGAAAGGUAGCAGUUUAAUACGCUGUUGCCGUGACGUUACCAACAGAAGAAGCACCGGCUAACUCCGUGCCAGCAGCCGCGGUAAUACGGAGGGUGCAAGCGUUAAUCGGAAUUACUGGGCGUAAAGCGCGCGUAGGUCGUUUGUUAAGCGAGAUGUGAAAGCCCCGGGCUCAACCUGGGAACUGCAUUUCGAACUGGCAGACUAGAGUAUGAUAGAGGGUGGUAGAAUUUCAGGUGUAGCGGUGAAAUGCGUAGAGAUCUGAAGGAAUACCGAUGGCGAAGGCAGCCACCUGGGUCAAUACUGACGCUCAUGUACGAAAGCGUGGGGAGCAGCCACCUGGGUCAAUACUGACGCUCAUGUACGAAAGCGUGGGGAGCAAACGGGAUUAGAUCCCCCGGUAGUCCACGCCGUAAACGAUGUCUACUAGCAGCUCGGGUCCUCGGACUUGUUUUGCAAAGCUAACGCAUUAAGUAGACCGCCUGGGGAGUACGGCCGCAAGGUUAAAACUCAAAUGAAUUGACGGGGGCCCGCACAAGCGGUGGAGCAUGUGGUUUAAUUCGACAACGCGCGAAGAACCUUACCAUCCCUUGACAUCCAGAGCAGCGAAUAGAGAUAGACGUGUGCCUUCGGGAACUCUGUGACAGGUGCUGCAUGGCUGUCGUCAGCUCGUGUUGUGAAAUGUUGGGUUAAGUCCCGCAACGAGCGCAACCCCUAUCCUUAUUUGCCAGCGCGUUAUGGCGGGAACUCUAAGGAGACUGCCGGUGAUAAACCGGAGGAGGGUGGGGAUGACGUCAAGUCAGCAUGGCCUUUAUGCCUGGGGCUACACACGUGCUACAAUGGCAGGUACAGAGGGCAGCAAUACCGCGAGGUGGAGCGAAUCCCACAAAGCUUGUCGUAGUCCGGAUUGGAGUCUGCAACUCGACUCCAUGAAGUCGGAAUCGCUAGUAAUCGCGAAUCAGAAUGUCGCGGUGAAUACGUUCCCGGGCCUUGUCCACACCGCCCGUCACACCAUGGGAGUGGGUUGCAAAAUAUCUCCAUAGUCUGAGAGAAAGAGGACGCGCGCGCGAGAGAGAUGUAACUGGGGGAAGUCGUAACAAGUAGCCUAGCUCUG